AAGGGACAGGGAGGUAGAUUUCUGUAAAUCUGACAAAGGCUGUGAAUGAAGCUGUUCAUGGAUAUAGCUCCUGUGAAUUCUUCAUAUGGAAAGAAAUGUAAGUAUGUACUGUAAUAUAUCUCUUUUUCUGAGUAUGUUACUUCAGUCUAGAUGUCUUUUAUUUUACAGAUUGUGGACUAUUCAGCUUUUUCAGGUUAAUGAGGAUGGAGGUGGCUGUAGUAGGUUUGCUGCUGGAGGUAUGGAUUGACUCUUCUGAUGAUGUGCAGAAGAGUGUGUUUUAUUUACUUGGGUGUUUUUGUGUUUUACAGGUUGCUUUUGUUCAUUUGAGGAGAGUCUUGCCAUGGAAAAAGUAUUGGGGUUGCUUGUGCUUAGGGUGGGAAUGAAGGCUUAGAUUGAUUUCAAUGUGUAUAAAUAUGCUGUCUCAACCUUUAUGUCUCUUUAACAGGUUGUGCCCUGGUGUGGGAAGUUCAACAGCAAAAAUCUUUGACUCUGGAGAUAGAUUUUGGCAAAUCGACCCUUUGUAGGUGAAUGUGGAUCCUGGUGCAAAAAAGAUCUCCCUCUUAGAAGCUCACCUACUGUAUAUUUUUGUUUUGUAGGUUGGACUCUUGUUCAGGUAUUGUACUGCCAGAGAGGAGAAUCUUCACUUUUGACAGCUGAUUGAACUGCUAAAUAUUCUGCAAUAUAUGCAAUUCCUAAGCUUUUCAUGGAAGGUUUUUUUACUGCUUAUACUUGCAAGUAGGUGACUUUGUUGAAAUGUGAUAGUGUCCUUCUACCUGGGCAUUUUUGUAUUACAGGUUAGGCCCAUGGACUGCUGAAGUUUGCGAUAGGUGAGUAAAAUACUAGGUGUGCAUUAAUAGUGAUUCUUCAGCCUAGUCAUUUUAUUAUUUUACAGGUGUCCAUGUUUUGGGAAAUGCCUAGUCACUAUGGGCUUCAGCCUGGAGGUUUCUUAUGGUAGGUAUGAAUGGAAAUACUGUUUCAUGUCAUUCUUCAGCAUGGGCAUCUUUGUUUUACAGGUUGGGAGGAUGUGAUGGAAAACAGCAGAGUUUGGAAAUAUCGUACUGCUAACACUUGUGGUUGGUGAGUAGAAAAAUAGAUGAGCAUGGAUAGUGCUUUUCUUCAACCAUUGAAUCUUUUUAUUUUACAGGUUUUCCUAUUUUGGAAAUCUGGACAUCUAGCCACUAUGAUACUUCAGCCUAGCAGUUUAUUUCAGAGCCUUUCUGUUACGGUAGGUAUGGAUAAACAAAUUCAGUUUGGCAUUGCCAUUUUUCAGCAUGGGCAUCUUUGUUUUACAGGUUGGGAAUUUUUGAGGGAAAGGCACCAGCCAUUUCAGAAAACCCUGUACUAUUGAAGCCUGUGAUUAAUUGGUGAGUAGAAGAAUAGACAUGCAUGGGUUAUACUGGUUCUUCAAUCUGGGUAUCUUUUUAUUUUACAGGUUUUCCUCUUUUGGGAAACAUCAAGCAACUAUAAAACUUCAGUCUGGCAGUUUAUUUGGGAUCCUGUUUCUUGUGGUAGGUACGGAUGAACAAAUUUAAUCUGACAUUUUUACUUCAGCAUGGGUAUUUUUGUUUUACAGGUUGGGACAUUGUGAGGGAGGAGAUAGCAGCAGAGUUAGGAAACUCUGUACUGCUAGCACUCUUAAUUGGUGAGUAGAAGAAUAGGCAUGCAUGGGUUAUAGUGGUUCUUUAACUUGGGUAUCUUUUCAUUUUACAGGUUUUCCUCUUUUGGGAAACAUCUAGCCACUAUGGUACUUCAGCCUGGGAGUUUGUGUUCCUGUUUCUUGUGGUAGGUAAAGAUAAACAAAUUCAAUUUGAGAUACUCCCUUCAGCAUAGGCAUCUUUGUUUUACAGGUUGGGACAUUGUGAGGGAAAGGCUAGUAGCAGAGUCAGGAAACCUCGUACUGCUAAAGCUUUUGAUUGCCACUAUAGGAUUUCAGCCUGGCAGUUUAUUUGGGAUCCUGUUUCUUGUGGUUUUCCUGGUUGGAUAUUGUCUAGCCACUACAGUUGUAUUGGGAACCUGUUUCUUGUGGUAGGUAUAGAUAAACAAAUUCAGUUUGGAAUUAUUCAGCAUGGGCAUCUUUGUUUUACAGGUUGGAACAAGACAACCAGCCACGUUGAAAAACCAUGUACUGCUGAAGCCUGUGAUUGGUGAGUAGAAAAAUAGGCAUGCAUGGGUUAUACUGGUUCUUCAACUUGGUUAUCUUUUUAUUUUACAGUAUUUCCCAUUUUGGGAUGCAUCUAGCUACUAUGGUACUCAAACCUGGCAGUUUAUUUGGGAUCCUGUUUCUUGUGGUAGGUAUGGAUGAACAAAUUCUGUUUGGCAUUGUCAUUUUUUUAACAGGCUAAAAGCAUAGGCAGGUAAACUUGGACUGCUAAAGCUUGUGACAGAUAGGUGUGUAGAAAAAAAGUUAUUCAUGAAGAAGUGAUUAUUCGGCCUGGGAUUUUUUAAAAUCUUAUUAGGUUUUCCUGUUUUCUGUAGUACUGUAGCUUUGCAUGUGCUUUACAGAUAGGGACGUUGGGAAAUACCCAGAAUUGGUUGAGCUUCGGCAGGGGAGUGGGGAUGCUGGUGCUUUUUGGUGAGGUGUGAGAUAAGGGAUAGAUUGACUACACUGGAUGUGAGUGUGCAUUGCUUUAGCCUGGGCUAUUUUGUUUUAAAGAGGAAAAUAACAAUCUUAUAUUCCAGUUUAAG
Long non-coding RNA from Xenopus tropicalis (tropical clawed frog), 2685 nucleotides. RefSeq lists it as uncharacterized. The record is from RefSeq and is a predicted model, not a curated record. The transcript has 3 exons. NCBI's taxonomy places the organism in Eukaryota, Metazoa, Chordata, Amphibia, Anura, Pipidae.